Long non-coding RNA from Cannabis sativa, 469 nucleotides. RefSeq lists it as uncharacterized. The record is from RefSeq and is a predicted model, not a curated record. NCBI's taxonomy places the organism in Eukaryota, Viridiplantae, Streptophyta, Magnoliopsida, Rosales, Cannabaceae. The transcript has 2 exons.
GAUGAUGACGAUGAACACUGCCAAGGCCAAGGCUAAGUUGGAUGCAGUGGGAUGAUGAUGGUAACGGUGAACACUGCCAAGGCUUAAUGAUGAAGAGUAUUAUAGUAUUAUGGCUAUUGUGUUCCUGAGUAUGCAAUGAUUGGCCAGUUGACUUUGAAAUCAGACGUAUAUAGUUUUGGGGUAGUUUUUCUGGAAAUUAUUACAGGCAGGAAAGCAAUUGACAAUUCAAGAGCUACAAGAGAGCAGAACUUGGUUGGGUAAGAAAAUAUAAUUAACCAAUUCAAAGUUCUCAUUUUCCGCCCGGUACUCCUAAAUCCAAGAGAGACAGCGAGAAGAAAUCACAAUGGUGGUAGUGGAUGAUCAGACCUUUGUGAAUGCUUCUCUCACUUGCAUCUCAUUCACUCUACAGUUAGCAAACCUGUGAUACGAAUAAAAAAAUGUCAAUCACAUUUGCUUCUCCAUUUUUUCA